This 514-nucleotide long non-coding RNA is filed under the name Homo sapiens (human). Its description in RNAcentral is "HSALNT0307199". The record is from RNAcentral. Lineage: Eukaryota; Metazoa; Chordata; Mammalia; Primates; Hominidae.
GCAGCCGCGCCAGCCUCAUGCCGAGUCCCGCUAGAGAAGCCACAGCCAGUACGCCAGGUUUCCCCGCGCCUCUGCCGAGUGUCAUUCUCCAGCUGGGAUUGAGAACAAGGGGAAGCUGGCCAUAGAGCCAGGUGACCAAAGAUGGAAGACAAAGGGUGGGCUGUGAUUCCCAGAGCUCCAAGCCUUGUUCUGUCUUGUCACACCAACUGUUACUGAUGAACAGGUUUACAAUCUUUGAGGCCUGGCUGACUCAUGGAACAACUAGGACAAGAAACAAAGACAAAGAACACACACCUGACUGGACAGAGAUAAACCAAGAGCUGAGAGUUUUGGAAACAAGGCUGGAGCUGAGGAAAAGGACUGGGAACACGAACCUGUACAAACAACAAAUUCUUACAACAGAAAACAAGCCACUCCUGGCCAUCAAGAAACCCACAAAUCUCAGAAGCAAAAGCAAAACAAAUGAAAAUACAAACCAAAUAGUCUCUAUUACCUUCAUGCCUGUUGGGUCCCA